This 89-nucleotide transfer RNA is filed under the name cyanobacterium TDX16. Its description in RNAcentral is "tRNA-Leu". It matches the Rfam family "tRNA". Rfam says of the family: Transfer RNA (tRNA) molecules are approximately 80 nucleotides in length. Lineage: Bacteria; Bacillati; Cyanobacteriota. The record is from RNAcentral.
GCCCGGGUGGCGCAACUGGUUGACGCAGAGGGCUUAAACCCCUCGGGCCUCUCGAGGCCAUGUGGGUUCGACUCCCACCCCGGGCACCA